Long non-coding RNA from Neodiprion virginianus, 581 nucleotides. RefSeq lists it as uncharacterized. NCBI's taxonomy places the organism in Eukaryota, Metazoa, Arthropoda, Insecta, Hymenoptera, Diprionidae. The transcript has 3 exons. The record is from RefSeq and is a predicted model, not a curated record.
ACAUUGUAGCACUAUCGACCAUAUGUAGCCAUGAUCUGAGUGACGUAACCCAAACAAACAAUUUCUGUCAAGAAACUGAAAAUUUAUCCACCCGCUAUACAGUGAAUAGAACUGAAAGUGUGAAAAGUGUGUUCAACCACCAUGCAACCUGAGAUGCUACGAGAACUACUACCAUUACAUGCAAAAGUGCGGAGCAACCUGGAGAAGAGUUAAGCAGAGACAUCCGAGUAACUUCUCCAUUACUCAGCAACGUUGGUGAGUUUGCAUGUGUUAGGUUACGGGUAUUUCCCUGGGACUCCUCCAUCCCGUGGCGUGGCGGUAACACUGUUACACGAAUCUGCGAUUUCUUAGAUGCAUGGAUAGGCUCAUUCAUGAUCGCAACGAUGCUUGACUUCAAGUUGAAUCGUUUUUUCUUUUUGUGCAGUAGACCUAUUCUACCAUAGUGACUCAAUGUUAGAAAUUUUGCACGUUGCUGAAAGUGGAAUGAGCAUCGCGACAGGUUACCAUCACUUACUCGAUAUUCGCGAAAACAAGUAGUGUUUAGCUACAGAUAUUUACCUACCUAUGUUCGAAUUUUAAAA